CCAACGUGGGCAUCCCGGGAGGUCACUCUCCCCGGGCCCUGUCCUGGUGGCACAUGGGAGCUGAGGGCUCUGCCCCGUGACGUACAGUCCCCUUCCACGACGUUGGAGAGAAAGCCGGGCCUUCGGGUCUGCGCCUGCAUAUUCCUACAGCUUCCCAGAGUCCAUGGACCGUGACUGGGGAGACAAACCAUGCAGGAAACAGCU
Small nucleolar RNA from Ochotona princeps (American pika), 204 nucleotides. Its record names the gene SNORA73. It matches the Rfam family "Small nucleolar RNA SNORA73 family". From Rfam's summary of the family: U17 (SNORA73A and SNORA73B) also known as E1 belongs to the H/ACA class of small nucleolar RNAs (snoRNAs). Vertebrate U17 is intron-encoded and ranges in length from 200-230 nucleotides, longer than most snoRNAs. NCBI's taxonomy places the organism in Eukaryota, Metazoa, Chordata, Mammalia, Lagomorpha, Ochotonidae. The record is from Ensembl.